RNAcentral lists this ribosomal RNA (301 nucleotides) under uncultured bacterium. RNAcentral describes it as "partial 16S ribosomal RNA". It matches the Rfam family "Bacterial small subunit ribosomal RNA", at positions 509 to 807 of the family's 1533-position model. The record is from RNAcentral.
CAGCAGCCGCGGGAAUACAGAGGGUGCAAGCGUUAAUCGGAAUUACUGGGCGUAAAGCGCGCGUAGGUGGUUUGUUAAGUUGGAUGUGAAAUCCCCGGGCUCAACCUGGGAACUGCAUCCAAAACUGGCGAGCUAGAGUAUGGUAGAGGGUGGUGGAAUUUCCUGUGUAGCGGUGAAAUGCGUAGAUAUAGGAAGGAACAUCAGUGGCGAAGGCGACCACCUGGACUGAUACUGACACUGAGGUGCGAAAGCGUGGGGAGCAAACAGGAUUAGAUACCCCGGUAGUCCCUGUCUCUUAUAC